AACUAAGUUUGUUAUUGGUAUGAGCUUUCAUGUGCAUGCACACUUCUUCAGAUACUUCUUCUUCAGUGUAUCUGAAGAAGUGUGCAUGCACACGAAAACUCAUACCAAUAACAAACAUAGUUG
Molecule: microRNA precursor, 123 nt
Filed under: Podarcis lilfordi (Lilford's wall lizard)
Lineage: Eukaryota; Metazoa; Chordata; Lepidosauria; Squamata; Lacertidae
Source: RNAcentral